This 88-nucleotide transfer RNA is filed under the name Candidatus Saccharibacteria bacterium 32-50-13. Its description in RNAcentral is "tRNA-Leu". It matches the Rfam family "tRNA". Rfam says of the family: Transfer RNA (tRNA) molecules are approximately 80 nucleotides in length. Their secondary structure includes four short double-helical elements and three loops (D, anti-codon, and T loops). Lineage: Bacteria; Candidatus Saccharimonadota. The record is from RNAcentral.
GCGCGGAUGGUGGAAUUGGUAGACACGAGAGACUUAAAAUCUCUUGACCAUUACGGUCGUGCGGGUUCAAGUCCCGCUCUGCGCACCA